GACGAACGCUGGCGGCGUGCCUAAUACAUGCAAGUUGAGCGCUGAAGGUUGGUACUUGUACCGACUGGAUGAGCAGCGAACGGGUGAGUAACGCGUGGGGAAUCUGCCUUUGAGCGGGGGACAACAUUUGGAAACGAAUGCUAAUACCGCAUAAAAACUUUAAACACAAGUUUUAAGUUUGAAAGAUGCAAUUGCAUCACUCAAAGAUGAUCCCGCGUUGUAUUAGCUAGUUGGUGAGGUAAAGGCUCACCAAGGCGAUGAUACAUAGCCGACCUGAGAGGGUGAUCGGCCACAUUGGGACUGAGACACGGCCCAAACUCCUACGGGAGGCAGCAGCAGGGAAUCUUCGGCAAUGGACGAAAGUCUGACCGAGCAACGCCGCGUGAGUGAAGAAGGUUUUCGGAUCGUAAAACUCUGUUGGUAGAGAAGAACGUUGGUGAGAGUGGAAAGCUCAUCAAGUGACGGUAACUACCCAGAAAGGGACGGCUAACUACGUG
RNAcentral lists this ribosomal RNA (497 nucleotides) under uncultured bacterium. Its description in RNAcentral is "partial 16S ribosomal RNA". It matches the Rfam family "Bacterial small subunit ribosomal RNA", at positions 28 to 507 of the family's 1533-position model. The record is from RNAcentral.